GACGAACGCUGGCGGCGUGCCUAAUACAUGCAAGUCGAGCGGACCAAAGGGAGCUUGCUCCUGGAGGUUAGCGGCGAACGGGUGAGUAACACGUGGGCAACCUGCCUGUAAGACUGGGAUAACAUCGAGAAAUCGGUGCUAAUACCGGAUAAUAAAAAGAACUGCAUGGUUCUUUUUUGAAAGAUGGUUUCGGCUAUCACUUACAGAUGGGCCCGCGGCGCAUUAGCUAGUUGGUGAGGUAACGGCUCACCAAGGCGACGAUGCGUAGCCGACCUGAGAGGGUGAUCGGCCACACUGGGACUGAGACACGGCCCAGACUCCUACGGGAGGCAGCAGUAGGGAAUCUUCGCAAUGGACGAAAGUCUGACGGAGCAACGCCGCGUGAGUGAUGAAGGUUUUCGGAUCGUAAAACUCUGUUGUUAGGGAAGAACAAGUGCCGUUCGAAAGGGCGGCACCUUGACGGUACCUAACGAGAAAGCCACGGCUAACUACGUGUCAGCAGCCGCGGU
This 509-nucleotide ribosomal RNA is filed under the name uncultured bacterium. RNAcentral describes it as "bacterial SSU rRNA". It matches the Rfam family "Bacterial small subunit ribosomal RNA", at positions 28 to 521 of the family's 1533-position model. The record is from RNAcentral.